Non-coding RNA from Equus caballus (horse), 1777 nucleotides. Lineage: Eukaryota; Metazoa; Chordata; Mammalia; Perissodactyla; Equidae. The record is from RefSeq and is a predicted model, not a curated record.
UCCAAGUGUUUUUAUCUGCCUACCCUUGUAUGUGUUUCAGAGAAUGUGAAUAACCUUGGGCAUCUGGAUGUGAUAUUCAGGACUGUGCUUUAGAGAAGCUUAUCUUACACCUUCUUUUUCUAGAAUUUCUUUUAAUAUCUCUGAAGGCUUACAUGUCCUUUCAUAGGAAGGGAGAGGUCUUUUCCAUGACCAGUGCCAGGGUGAGUGUAGUAUUUCCACUUAGGAUGGGUGUGUGCAAAAACUUCUUUGACAGGGCUGUGGAAAAAACAAACAAAACCUAGAAAUCCACUAAGCUCAGUGUUUAAAAUACCCUGUCAAAGAGGCUUUUCAGAUUAAGUUGGUCUGAUUCCACCAUUUUUCUGUAGUGAAAUGUUCACCAACUUCACUGACCCAGCCUGCUGUGAAGUCUUUAGAAGAGGUGACAUCGCUGUCCAUUAAAGAUGUUAAACAAGUCCAGGAAAGGAUCUAUUUUUUAAAAAAUUCAUUCCCAGUAUCAUACCUUCAUUAAAUACUAGAAUCCCAUUUAGAGCAUCCUGUUGGGAAUCCUGUCCAAGACAGAAGAUUCCUAAUCUUAGUCAAUGGCCAGAUUUUCCUGUGGUCUUAUAUGAGUUAACUCCUGCUGCUGGUCCCCCUUUCAGGUGUUUUCAGGGACUUGGACUCCUUAUUCCUCUCACUGAGGGGAGAUGCUCCCAUCCUUCUAUACUCCCACCCGUUACUCAGACAGCACAUGAAUUCCCUGAGAAAAUCCUAGAAUAGUAAGAGCCAAAAGGAGCCCGAGUGGUCACAGAAUGCAGAGUGCUCAUUUUGAACUGAAGCUCAGAGAGAGAAUAGGAUUUGCCUUGGGCUGCAAAGCAAGAAAGGGAAUCCAAGGCCUGGGCCCUGGCCUGACGGCCUCGAGUGCUGCUGACUCUGGUGUGAACCUACCAGGCGUGGCUGCUUCACACUCAGCCCAAGACCUGUAACCAAAAGAAACCUCUGGUUUUGCUUUUGGUCUUACCUUAGUGUUUCCCCACACGAGGUAACCAUUACUUUCCAGAAACCCUUUAUUAAUAAAUAAAGUCAUUAGUGAUCCCCCAAUGCUGCUUAAGUAUUUUUAUACAGCAUAUAGCAAAGUGGUUACUAAGAGGACAGACAGGCAGGGGUUUGAAUCCCAGCUCGGCUGUGGUUGGUUAUACCUUGAACAAGUUCCUGAAUCACCCUGAGCCUCGUUGCCUCUUUUGCAAAAAAGGAGUAAUAAUUGUACCCAUCUUGGAGUUGCGAGAACUCAGGAUGAUUCAUAUGAAACACUUAGUAUAGGUGUCCAGGACAUGGUAAAUGCUUGAUAAGUGUUAGCUGUUAGUAACUAUUUAGUUGUUAUAUCAUCCUCUUCACAGUUGCUCUGCUUAUCUGGUUGUAUUAUUGUUUUGUUUAAACUGCCCCCCCCCCCAACCUGUGUUGGGAAAUGAAUAUAGUUAAUUCUCAAUUAUCCUCAUUGUGGAUGGGAUAAUAACAUUCAGAAUAUAAAAAAGCAGAUGGUUCCAAGUGAUCAGGAGACCCAGGUGUCAUUUACAUUUGGUUUGAUGAAGCAUCUUGAAAAGUAGCAAGAAUUUUGCCGCCUUUAUUGUGAAUAGGAGGCCAUAGUUUAUGCUAAAAUUUGUUUUUUUCUUUAGCCUGAGAACUCACUGAUUAAAAUCAAGAGAAAGCUAAGGCAGUACCUUGUGAUUUCCUGCUCAGGCAUGGAUAAAGGAAUUGAUUCUACCUCGUUUUCCAAGCUAAAAAAAAAAAAAAAAAAAUCCAU